GAUUUGUUUGCUAAGCAAACACUAAACUUGGAAUAAUACAGAGAACAUUAACAUGGCUCCUACUUUUAAAAAAAAUUAUUGAAAUAUAUAU
This 91-nucleotide small nuclear RNA is filed under the name Marmota monax (woodchuck). Lineage: Eukaryota; Metazoa; Chordata; Mammalia; Rodentia; Sciuridae. The record is from RNAcentral.